This 45-nucleotide non-coding RNA is filed under the name Schistosoma margrebowiei. The record is from RNAcentral. Lineage: Eukaryota; Metazoa; Platyhelminthes; Trematoda; Strigeidida; Schistosomatidae.
AUCCAGCUGAGGAGUUUCAAAUAAGACGAAACGCGCGUCCUAAAC